GUGCGAGACCGAUAGCGAACAAGUACCGUGAGGAAAAGAUGAAAAGAACUUUGAAAAGAGAGUUAAAGAGUACCUGAAACUGCUGAAAGGGAAGCGAAUCGUAUCCAGUGUCUAUAAUCUGCGGCAUAUUUCAUUGGCGGCGGUGCGCGUGCUUUUGCGUCGGAAGCGGCUUUUGUUGCUCUGUGCUUUUGCUGUGCGUGGUGUUGCUGGUGCCCUGUGUUGCGGUGGGACGUCAGAGUCAGUUUGCAUGCUGCGGGAAAUGGCUGCCGAGGAGGUAGGUCGAGAUUUCGGUCUUGGCUGUUAUAUCUUGGUGGUUUGUUGUCGUGGUUGAGACUGAGGUGCCUACAAUGUGCUUUUGAGUGUACCGGGUUCUCAUUUGGUGGACUGUUUGGAUAGCUUGCUAUGCUUGUGGUUUUUUCAUCGGGUGAUUGAGUCUGGUGGUAACUUGUUGCUGUUCGGGACUUUG
This 466-nucleotide ribosomal RNA is filed under the name uncultured Oomycota. Its description in RNAcentral is "LSU rRNA". It matches the Rfam family "Eukaryotic large subunit ribosomal RNA", at positions 326 to 628 of the family's 3401-position model. The record is from RNAcentral. Lineage: Eukaryota; Oomycota.